Long non-coding RNA from Tupaia belangeri chinensis (Chinese tree shrew), 621 nucleotides. RefSeq lists it as uncharacterized. The record is from RefSeq and is a predicted model, not a curated record. The transcript has 3 exons. Lineage: Eukaryota; Metazoa; Chordata; Mammalia; Scandentia; Tupaiidae.
GAGACAGAAAGGAUUGCAGCGUGACCAUUUCUCAUGGUUGUGUUGGAGCCCCCGAAGUAUUCCAAAAAAUUAAAUGAGAGGCCAUCAUGCAAGUGUUGCCCAGGAGGUGGCUAAUUCCAGUCUGCGAAUCAACUCUUUAUCCACACCUAGCUAGCUUAACUUUGUCUCUGCAAGGACGCGAUGUCACAGUAAGCCAGAUUUGAGGAGUCAACAAUCCUAAGAAGUUGUUCAAGGAGGCUGAAGAGGCCUAGAUCAUCUUAAUUCUCCUUUCCCUGUUAGCUUCUCUAGUUGUAGAAUGGAAAUGACAUAACAUCAGGAACAUGACAAUAUUUUAUUAAUAAAGAGUAUUGCUUAUUAAAUAUUUGCAUAGAUGAUAAAAUAUUCAUUUUGCCUAUUUAGUAAUCUUAAAAUGAGAGAUAUAGAAGAAAUAGGACUGUGGCCAUGAAGGAAAAAAAGGGAAAUAUUUCUAUACAGAAACAUUGAAAGAAGAAUAUUCAUAGAUAUUUGUCAUUUUAAAAGUAUAUAUUUAGAAUCUUUAUUUUAUUCACAAAUAAAAAAUAAGAAAAAUGAUAAAGCAAACAAAAUUCUGAAGCAUAUGAUUCAUCCUAAAGUUUUAAGAGG